UACGAGGGGGGCAAAUGUUGUUCGGAAUCACUGGGCGUAAAGGGAGCGUAGGCGGGCUUCUAAGUUAGAUGUUUAAUCCCGGGGCCCAACCCCGGACAGGCACCUAAAACUGGAAGUCUUGAAUAGUGGAGAGGACGGCGGAAUUGGGGGUGUAGCGGUGGAAUGCGCAGAUAUCAGGAAGAACACCGGUGGCGAAGGCGGCUCUCUGGGCCUUACCUGACGCUGAGGAGCGAAAGCGUGGGUAGCGAACAGG
Molecule: ribosomal RNA, 253 nt
Filed under: uncultured bacterium
Lineage: Bacteria
Description: partial 16S ribosomal RNA
Rfam family: Bacterial small subunit ribosomal RNA
Source: RNAcentral